Molecule: ribosomal RNA, 450 nt
Filed under: uncultured bacterium
Lineage: Bacteria
Description: bacterial SSU rRNA
Rfam family: Bacterial small subunit ribosomal RNA
Source: RNAcentral
GUGGGGAAUAUUGGACAAUGGGCGAAAGCCUGAUCCAGCCAUGCCGCGUGUGUGAAGAAGGUCUUCGGAUUGUAAAGCACUUUAAGUUGGGAGGAAGGGCAGUAAGUUAAUACCUUGCUGUUUUGACGUUACCGACAGAAUAAGCACCGGCUAACUUCGUGCCAGCAGCCGCGGUAAUACGAAGGGUGCAAGCGUUAAUCGGAAUUACUGGGCGUAAAGCGCGCGUAGGUGGUUUUGUAAGUUGGAGGUGAAAUCCCCGGGCUCAACCUGGGAACUGCCUCCAAAACUGCAUGACUAGAGUACGGUAGAGGGUAAUGGAAUGUCCUGUGUAGCAGUGAAAUGCGUAGAUAUAGGAAGGAACACCAGUGGCGAAGGCGACUACCUGGACUGAUACUGACACUGAGGUGCGAAAGCGUGGGGAGCAAACAGGAUUAGAUACCCGUGUAGUCC